RNAcentral lists this ribosomal RNA (440 nucleotides) under uncultured Blautia sp. RNAcentral's name for it is "bacterial SSU rRNA". It matches the Rfam family "Bacterial small subunit ribosomal RNA", at positions 338 to 795 of the family's 1533-position model. Lineage: Bacteria; Bacillati; Bacillota; Clostridia; Lachnospirales; Lachnospiraceae. The record is from RNAcentral.
CCUACGGGGGGCUGCAGUGGGGAAUAUUGCACAAUGGGGGAAACCCUGAUGCAGCGACGCCGCGUGAAGGAAGAAGUAUCUCGGUAUGUAAACUUCUAUCAGCAGGGAAGAAAAUGACGGUACCUGACUAAGAAGCCCCGGCUAACUACGUGCCAGCAGCCGCGGUAAUACGUAGGGGGCAAGCGUUAUCCGGAUUUACUGGGUGUAAAGGGAGCGUAGACGGAAGAGCAAGUCUGAUGUGAAAGGCUGGGGCUUAACCCCAGGACUGCAUUGGAAACUGUUUUUCUAGAGUGCCGGAGAGGUAAGCGGAAUUCCUAGUGUAGCGGUGAAAUGCGUAGAUAUUAGGAGGAACACCAGUGGCGAAGGCGGCUUACUGGACGGUAACUGACGUUGAGGCUCGAAAGCGUGGGGAGCAAACAGGAUUAGAUACCCCGGUAGUC